GGAAGUUUUAAAUUGCUGCUUUUUAAAAAUGUAACCCUAUCAGAUGAAUGCCCUUUAGUUUCCUCUCAGCAUUGUAACUCAGCAUGAUGCACUCAAACAUAUGAACAACUCUGUAGGUGUCAUUUUUCCCUGAAGACUGCUAUCCUAGUGAGAAUUCUGGUGGCUGUGGUAGGAGGUGUGCGUGAAGAGCUGCUCAUGGUGAGACCAGUUUGGUGGAUGAUGAGACAGUUCCUGAGAAACACAGUGAUAAUCAGACGCUCACAGUGAAGGUUCAUCGAUGUUGAAAGAGGAGAGAAAAUGGCGGCGUGCUAGGGGAUCGAGCGAAGAAUCUCUCCAGAGAAUUCAAACUCAAAGCUAAAAAAAAAAAAAAAAGACAGCAUGGAGAGGACCAGACAAACCCAUAGCGAUUCUUAUCAACCAAGACAGUACAGCUGGAGGAUUUAAAGUCGUGCUGAGACCGGAGGCUGCAAAUCCCGCGCCCUUAAAUCAACGAACAGACUCGUGGACCCAACACGAAAAGCUGAGUUGCUUUUGGGGACUGCGGAAACUGAGACCCAGAUUGAGACUCCAGGCGGCAGCCAGUUCUGCACCGCUGCACCAGAGCAGAUGUACAGAGCUCUGGCGUUUCGAAUCUAAACGGUGCACAGAAAUCUGACCAGUCAGCGCUGAGCCGCGAGGUGGGGAAAAGUGGACGGCUUGGUGUGUGGCGGUCCCGGAGCGGGGACUUGCACCGGACUCUGGUGAGUAUAGAAAACCCCGCGGCGGCUGGGUUUGGCCAGAGAACAGCUGGCCCGCCACCACGGGGAAAUCAAUAACACAGAAUCUGGUGCAGACAUAUUAGCCUGGCGGCUGAAACCGCAGCUUGGUGACAUCACCAGGACCCCCUGUAGGGAGGGCUGGUGGAAGACAUCUUGAGUCCUGGCAGAGUCUGAUUGCUUGCUGGCUUCAGCUCCGCAUGGAGAACUUAGUGGGAGCCAUCUUGGUUUUGGGCAGAUCUGCUUUUCUAGAGCUCCUAUCACAGAGAGGUUUGGAAGAGAAUGGCUGGGACCUGGGCAGAAUCCUGUGCCAUUACCCAGCUGCUUCUGAUUCAGGGAGAACUGGCAGGAGCUGUUGGGGCUAGAUCAGGCCUCUGCUUGGGGCCCAAUGGGCGGAUGCAGAAUGGUCACAACUCAGUGACAACCAGAAAGUACAGCCUAAUUUAUGAACUAACUGACACAGAGGCUAGAGACUAGACUGUACCGCCCCUGCAUCCCAGCCUACCCCAGAUAACUGCAAAUUGGGGAGGACAGCAAAAACUCAAGCCAGCACGCUUCUGAAAGGCCCUAAGCAAUUCGGAGAGGGCCAGAGAACUCCAGGACAGUCUGAAAGAAACCAGAAACAUGACAAGAGAUAAAAAUAAAAAAAAAUCUCCAGCUGUUCAACAGGAGAAAUUAAACCCAAGAGAACUAAACACUGAAGAGAACAAGCACAGUAACCAUCCAUUGCUCGACUCAGCAUCAGCCUAAAUUAAAAAGUAUUUACAUGAUCUCAUAGAGGAAUUUAAAGAUGUACUCCUGAUCCAAGUGAGGCAAGAUAUAAAGAGAUUAAUUAAAGAAAUGACAAGCCCUGCCCAAGAGAACACAGAUGGAAGAACUGAGGAAAUCAGAAAAGAAAGAGAAGCAUCUGAAGAAUUUAAGCAUAACUUAGAAUACAUGAAACAGAUCCAAAGAGAAAAUCAGGAAAUUAAAAACUCCAUUGAAUAUUGGCAAAAUGCCUUGACAGAAACUAAAGACAACCUUCUGAAACUUGAAGAGAGAUUUAGGGCUUAUGAACGUGAAAGAAAAAGCCUCUUAAAAAUAACAAGGAACCAGAAAGAAGCAAUUCUAAAACUGGAAGAUGAUAAAAAGAUGCAUAACCUAAGAAUAAAGAAUGUGAGUGAGGAAGCAGGAACAUCCAAAAAUGAAAUACAAAAAAUAUUCACAGAGAUAUUAAAGCAAAAUUUCCCAUGUAUAGCAAAAAGAAAUGAUAUCCAGAUAAAAGAAGCAUACAGAACGCCAGCUACCUACAACCAAAACAGAUCUACGCCUAGGCAUAUAAUAAUCGAGAUCCCAGAAAUCCACCAAAAAAACAGAAUAUUAAAAGCAGCCAGAGAAAAGAUGCAGGUUACCUAUAACGGGAAAUCUAUCAAAAUAACAGCAGACUUAUCAACACAAACUCUUAAGUCAAGAAGGGAGUGGGGAGAAAUAUUCCAAGUCCUGAAGGAAAAAAAUAUGCAACCUAAGUUCAUAUAUCCAUCAAAACUCUCUCUAAAAAUUAAUGAAGAAAUAAGAUACUUUCAAGACAAGGAGGAACUGUGGGAGUUCAUGGCCACCAAUCCAACCCUACAGAGAGCGCUGAAGGACAUUACAGAGAAAGAGAAGAAGAGAUAUCAGGAUUACAGCUACAGUGGCAGAGAGGCCUCAGUGUACGGGGCAGACCAUGGAAUGAGGGAAUAAGGUGGACAAAUUAUAGCAGAAAAGUGGAGUAGCAGACAUGAGGCAGAGACGAAAUAUAAUGAAAAAAUAAUAGGCCUCAAGCAAUGCACAAUUUACCUUACAAAUCUGGAAAUAUUCUGAAGUCAAGGUUUCCUGAAUCUCCUCUCUCAGAACUCCAGCUGUCCCUCCUGGAUGCAAGGGACCACUACCAGUCCCACCGCUGUUACUGCCACUGCUGCUGCCACUGCCUGGUGAGGAGGCAGUCAAGCCAUCCAAAACUUUUCGGAAAUUAAACUUCUUCAUUUUAAGAACUGUUGAGAAAGUCAAAGGAAAAGAGAAAGGGUUGACUAACUACAUAGAAUUAUACCGGGUAAAAUCAUUUAUUCUUCCAUAUUCGGGCAGUAAUAGCCAGCCCCAUUUUAUGAGCAUUGGCUGAAAAGUGGAAAAGAAGAAAGGCCUCGUUUUGUCAAAUUUUAAUUCUAAAAUACAUAUCUUCAUAAAAUAAAGACCAUUCCUAGAGCAACUGUA
Molecule: long non-coding RNA, 2981 nt
Organism: Cavia porcellus (domestic guinea pig)
Lineage: Eukaryota; Metazoa; Chordata; Mammalia; Rodentia; Caviidae
Exons: 2
Source: RefSeq, a predicted model, not a curated record